AGAGGAAGGGCUAAGCCAAAGGAUCAGGAGGAACCCAGGGCCGGGGACCCAGGGCUUCUUCAGGGAAACAGAGGCUGCCAUCUUCUGGGGGUGAUGGCCUUCUGCCUGGUAGUCUCCAGGCCAGUGUUUACGGGGUCUCUUGAGCGCAUCUCUCAGUGGAUGGUGGCCCCCAUCACAGCGCCUCUUGUGUUCACAGCUCUUAAGUUUCUACCCUCACGCCAGUCCCAGAGUCUCUUGUCUGCAGAGGGCCUGGCUUUCCUUCACAUUCGUUCAUACUCUGGCUCCAGUCAGCCCUGGGUCCCAGAGGCUCAGCGCCAGGGACCAAGCCUUGGCGGAUUCUUCUCCCCCCAUCUUGGGGUUUUCUCUGUGACUGGAUCCUGUAUAUGCAGCCCCUUCCUGAUUUCUCUCCUCGGGUUCAGGUGGCAGCAACGCAGGGCACAGGGACAGCAGCAUUCUGGAGGGUCACUGGGUACAACCUUUGUUUGUGCAAGUUAAUGAUUCACUGAAUUGCCCCCAGGAGGCCCAGAGGAGGCAGGGCUCUGCCAUUCCCGGGGCAUGGAGGAAAAGAAACAGCCUCUCCUGCUGCAAAAUCACUUUGCCCUUCUCUUCUUGUGGCCCCGCGUCAGCGUGACGGGGCCGGCCGUCGCUGUCAUCAGCCCUCACUAGCUCCCAAGGUGCCUUCCUUGACACAACGUUGCUACUGGAUCGGACACUCCAGGGCUACGGGAGGAAGCUCCACACACAAGCCCAGAUCGAAAUGAGACUCACGGCUGUCCCCUUCCUCCUGAACCCAUCACUGGGCCAUGCCCCUCCUGCUCGCACAUCUUAAAACAAAACAAGAUGGACCAAGCAGACCUCCUGCCAUCUUGCAUAUCUUCUGGCUUCUGUCCCCUACCCCUCAUUCCCCCUAACAGUGAAGUUUCUUUACAGAUAUGUACAUUUUAAUAUUUCAGACACUUCAGAAAAGUAGAGAAUAAAUCACCACUUUGUUGGUUUCUAACAAAACGUGACAAAUACAGCUGAAACUCCCUUUGAGCCCCUCCUCAAUCUCAUUACCUUUCUUCCUUCCUAGAGGCAACUGCUGACCCAAAACUAGUCAGCUUGGCAGUGGUUACAUGCUUGUACUACAAAUAUACCUAUACAUAUGCCAUAUCACUUUCAUGUCCGUUUUACGUAAGCGAUAGCACGUUUUUCAUAUUCUGCAACUUGCUUCUAACCCAACAUUACAUUUUCAAGAUUCAUCCUCGUUAAUACACAUAGCUCUCGUGCAAUUUAAUUUUUGGAGAGCACUCUAUUAUAUGACUGUACUACCCCUUACUGUCCAGUUUCUUAGAAGACUAGUUUCUACUCUUCAUCGUCUGUCUGCCCUCCCAUCUCCUCUUAACUCUCUCCUACUCGCCUUCUGCCCCCAUCCCACCACCUGUCAGGUUCUCCAGUGGUACGCCCCAUGGACGCUUUUAGCCCUUAUCUUACUGGACCUCUGUGCCACAUUCUUGUCUGGAUUACUUCUGCCUCCUGAGGCUCUCCUUCCUUUCUGAGCUCUCAAUUGGCAUCUCCUCCAAGAAUGAUUCCUCUUUUGCCGUCCCCCUAGAUCAGUGGUUCUCAAUCGGUGGAGGAGGGGGCAAUUUUGUGCCCCAGGGAACAUUUAACAAUGUCUGGAGACGCUGGUUGUCACAGGGCAGGUAUUACUGACGUCAAACAGGUAUAGGCUGGGGAUGCUGCUUAACAUCCUACAGUGACAAGACAGUCCCAAACCACAAAGAACUAUCUGGCUCCAAAUGCUAACAGUGCCAAGGUUGAGAACCCCCAGUCUAGAGAUUGCUCUUCUAUAAGGUUCCGGUCUGACCCCUCUUCCCUUCCUGUGCUCCACCCCUCUUGCAUCACCUCACUUGCUCUUUGGAGACUGUUGAAACAGCUGGACAGGCUAGCAUAUUUCCUAGGAUUCCUACCUGACAGCUUGCCUUGGGGGCUAGACUUACCCGGACGCUGGGCCGCUCUGGGGGGACCUCGGACACCAUGUUGUGGUUGGAUGUGUCGCUGUUGGUGAUAGCCGGGCGUUUUCCACCUGCUUUAUUGGACAUGUCCAAGGCCGAUCUGAUUUCAGGUUGAUGAAAACAGAAGAAAGGGACUGGUCAGAACCCAGAAAGAAUGGAAGGGCCCUAGCUGUAUUCCCUACCCUGCCACCCACUGUUCCCGCAUCAGCACAAAAUCACAUCCCCUAAGCGCUAUCAAGAGGUCACCUCAGCUGCUCCUUCCGCUCUUCUGAGACCACAUGCCAGUAAUCUUGGUUGGGCAUUUUCCUCUUUCUUUCCUGUAAACUUAUUUUAAAAACCUAGACCUUAGGACUCUGGAACUCCUUUUCCUUCUAACUGAAGAGACACAAUGCCUCAGUGGAUAUGAGAGUCAUUUAACGGUCUUUCUUUUCCUUCCAUUCACUGAGUCGAGAUCCACAGAGGAAGCCGAGAGGAAUUCACAUUUGGCUCUCAGGGUUAUAUCACCUUCCCUCAGCACCUCCCUCAAAGGCCCCUGGGUGAUACGCCCACCUCAAAACUAUCUCACUCCUCGAGCCUGAGAUCUGGGAGACACUGGGAAAAGUGGGUGAGGUCAACAAGCUGGAUGGCCCUUAGAAGCUUCCAUUCCUCAGGACUGAGAGAUCCAGAAACUCCAUUCCUGAGCUCGGGCUGGGACCCACUCACGCUUCCAGUCCAGGGUCCCCGCAUCUAAGGGGCCACUUGAUGUACUGAGGCCCCAGGGACCAUCAGGCAUCGAGCUCCCAGCCAUGUUCAGAUAGAAUCCAAAGCCCUGUGCAGAGAAGCCCGGUCAGGUCUGGCAGGGCCCUCGCUCAGAAGCCCCCGACCCAGUGAGCCGCCCAUCAGCCUGCUCACGGAACUCGGCUCACCGGCCACUGAAGAAAUCCCUACCUGACCCGCCGAUCAGCCCGAAACUUCAACAUCCUUUUGGCAGCUCUGUCCCCUGUUCGGCAGCCUCAGAGGACCUGCCAGCCACCCUGCUCCUACCAUCCCUCUGAGAAGUAAGUCCUCCGGGUCCCGGUGGCCAGCUCAGGGCGCGAGGCAGGCGCGGCUGGCUCCCCCUCCUCCCGGCUCCGGCACCAGGCGAGGGGGAGGGGCUCUCCCCGGGUGGUGGCAGGGGGUGCCCAGGUGCCCUGGGGGGCCCGUGGCUUCCUAGCAUCCAACCCGAAUGCUGCCGUCUGAGUGCUGGAGGCAGAUUAAAUGAGCAGGGAUGAUAUCCUCCCGGUCCAGGUCCCCGAGGAGAAAACGCUGAAACAGAGGCGGGCGGGCGCCGAGCAGGUGUACAAGUUCCAGGUAGUCCGACCUCCCUGAGCUAAGGACACAGAGUGGCCGGGCGGGCGGAGCCGUCUGGGGCCGCGCUCCCAUCUGCGCGGCCUGCAGGAAGACGGUCUUUCCUACCUCCCGACCCCCAGCCCCGAACGCAGGCCCUUGGGCUGAAAUCCACGUGCUUCGCAGAGACCCUUCUGAUCCCGCGGGCACGAGGGUUAAAAGAAGCUCCAGGCUCGGCUGCUGCCACUGCCUAGAAGCUGAGAUUAAGUUUCCCAGACUUCGGCGCAGACAGGGCACAGCGAGGGGGGCUUCUGCGCAGCAACCCCCCCCCCCCCAAACGUGCUCUCUUAGGACCCAGCCCCGCCUGGCUUGCCCUCCGUUUGGGGUCCAGCUGAGGGGCACGGGGAGCCAGAGCUGGUGGCAAGGACCUGGCUUCUUUGCUCUGGUGCACUGGAAGGAAAGCUUCCUCCCAAAGCGUGUGAGGAAGAGGGCAGCAAACAGGGCUCAGAGGGGGUCACCGUGUGUUUACUUCUGAAAAUCUUCCCAGAUGCCAUAUGAUAAAUCCCAGCUGGCGACUGUCGGAUCUGCUCAGGGGCAAAGGAGGUUUGCAUCGCCUUGAAGUUCCCUGAACUCUCCAGGGCCUGAAGACGAUCAGAUCUCCCCUUUCCCUAAUGCCCUCGGUGUGUCUGAGGGUCCUGGGACUGCAAGGGCCUUCUGAAGGUCAUCUCUUCCAACCCCCUGCCUCCAGGCAAGCUCACUCUGCAAUCAAUCUCAUUAAGUGCCCUGGCUGUUCACAAAGGGCUCCAGCAAGGGAGGCUCCAGACCCGCUGUCAGCUUAUGCUGCCAACUUGUUCUUUCUUGAUAUCAAAUUUCAGUUCCUCUGGCUUUCCAUAUUAUUCCAUUUCUGCCUUCGGAUGACAGAAUCCCUUCUGAGCAGCAUGGUCGUUUAUCGCAGCACCAGGCAGUCUGUUGACAUCAUAGUCUGUUGUUAUGGCAAUUCUGUGAUGUCACAGACACUGAAAGGGGAGGGCGGAUCUAAUUUUUUGGAUCGAGGUCACAACUCAGAGAACCGUGCAAUCAGUGAAUGCAAAAGCGAGCAGACAACAUUAUUAUUUAACUAUGACAAGACAAGCCGGCUGGCUAGAGCUGGGGUCAACAGCUACUGAUACUGAGGCAACUAAUCCUAAAUCCAAACGGUCAAUAUAUUCAACCAUUUAGCGGUACUUUUGCAAAUGGUGACAAGAGCCUUUGGGUACCAGAUCCCAUCUCUCUCUGGCCCAGCCUAAUUAUUUGAGCCCUGCUAUGGUUGCGGGAAUCUGGGCGCUCCUCUGGUGCCAGCUUGAGGUCUCUGCCUGUGCACAGUAGGUGCCUAAUAAAUAUUUGUUGAACCAACAAGUGAAUGAAUGAACGAACAAAAGAAACCCUCCGUGCUCCACCUUAAUUUUUAGCCACCUGCAUUUGGAGUUUGACAUUCUAUUACCAAGGGCCUCCCUACCUUUGCUCUCUCUUAAAAUUAAUUACUUCCUCUCCGUGAGAGAAGCUCUGUCUCUGCCCCCUCGCCCCUUCACUCAGCUCCCCUGCCUGGCUCCCCCUCAAAUAUAUAGCUUGGCUUUGAUCCGUCUUCAUUAGGAGGGGAAGAAAAUUAAGCUCAUCUGUACAGGAGGAGGGAGUGGAGGUGCAUUGGGAAAAUGAGUUUUCUUCCUCUAGAAGGCAAAAAAUAUCCCCUUUCUCUUCAAGCUGAGCUCAGGAACCUCCCACAGGCUUUGCUUAAGUUGUAAGCUAAAUUACUUCUCCCAUGCCCAGUGAAGCUAGCACAAGGGAGUAGGAAUGUAGGCUCAGGGGCUUUCCCUGCUUGUCGAGGACUCUGAAAUCCUCAGGGUUCAGGCACACAGAAUGCCUAGCUGGGGUUCUUUUCCUUCACCACUAAACUGCACAGAAUGACAGGUUGUCAUUUUAGGGUAGACGUCAAGAAGAACUUACCAGGUGCAGGAUAUUUUAAAAGGGAAACAAGGAUAGGUGAUUCAUUUUUUCUCUCUUCUUUCCUUUUUUUUUUUUUUUUUUUUUUUUUUUUUUUUUGGUGUGGGGGGGAUGUCAAAGGCCUCCAUUUCUCAGGAACAAAUAGUUAUGAGUACAUCUCCAAAUGGACCUCCUGAUUCCACCCCCCCCCCAAAAAAAAAGGGGAGAAUCUCAAGCAGUCAAGCAGAUUGUGUGAUGGAGGCAGGAACAUCCCUAAACUCCUGGAUCUCCCACUGGGUGGCCACCUUAUCCACUGUGCCUACAAACGUGGCCCCAAUGGCAGUGCCACCAGUGAAAAGAGAAUUGGGCAACACCAGGCUUACAGUCCAAGAUCCAACGGGAAUUAGCAACGUGACCUGACUUCUCUGGUUAUUCGUUUCCUCGUGUGCAAAUGAGGCCACAGUCAUUUCCAAAAGGGCAGGAAUAGGGCGUCCUCUGCCAAGCAAGCUUGGAAUGUCCUGAAAUGCUAGGCCACUGGGCUGAGCGGCUAAAAGCUUGGAUUAUCUUAUCUUCAAAGUGAUGACGACGGCGACGACGAUGACGAUUUUACUUUAUGUGAUUCCAUUCAUCUUCUGAAAAAUGAAGAUAACCGGGGUGGAUAUUCAGCACAGCCAUGCUAUGUUAUGAAAACGUUGAAAUUCUCCCUUGUUGGUCAGUAAAGAGCAGCUCUUGAGCGCCCCCUCCUCACCUCCCCACCGGUGCCUGCCCCGACCUCCCCCCCCCCCCCCCAGAGAUCCAAAGACACCACGGGGGAGGGGGGGCCCACAGGACUCCAGGCCCCUGCCCUUUCUGGUCCACGAAUUACUGAACAUCAUUCCUGAAGCCGCCAUUCCUUAACUGUCAGAACACCAAUGGCCCUUGCAAGUGUCAAGAUCGGGAUUCUGGGCCCAGAAGUUGUGAUGUGCAGGACGCAAGACGAGAGGGGCCUUUCCCGCUUUUCCAUCCCACGCCUGACCCAACUUGGGAGAACUGGGGCAACGCAGCUCCCUGGGGCUCCUCACCUUCCUUGCCCUCACGCUUUGGUUUUGUUCCCUGCUGAAGGGAAAGGAAAUUUAGGAAGGACUGUCAUUCUGGCUCCACCUUCCCUCCUCACAGCCUUUCCUGAGUGGUGAAGCCUGAUGGGAGCAGGGGGAAGGCCCCAGUCUCCUCCCUCAGCCUCCAAGCCGCCUUCUCCUGACAGUCAGCAAGAGUCCCACGAGAUAAAGGGGCAGGAUACUAAUUAAUUACUGUCUCCCCCCCCCCCCCCCCCCCCCCCCCGGCUCUGAGCUAAAUCCCCAAACCCCAACCUUUCAGAAGCUGAGGCGGCCCAGCUGUCUGCUUCCGAGCCUCCAGAAGGUCACUGGAACCAGCUCUCUUCAUUCCUAGCUCAGCAGAUUUGGUUCUGGUGUCCCAGACAACAGUCCCACCCCACCUCACCCCAAGGGAAAGCAUUCGACAGAGAAAGAAGAGGGACAAAGCUUCAUGAUUCAGAGGGAGACACCUGCUCCACCAGGCUGGCUGCAAGAACACAGGGAUAAGAGACACAAACCCUCUUACUUGUAAGCCCAUGGGCCAUAGGUCUGGGGACCGUGUGUGACAUGGAGCGGGGGCGGGGGGGUACCCACGAAUGUUAGUCCGACAACACCUGCCUGGGUGCGGAGAUGCGGAAGGGCGGCCGCACGCAAACUGCUUACCGCCUGGGCCUCCUCGGUUGCUGUUGGCCAGCACCUCACACACAGUAGGAACAGAAUGGGUGAUGGCCGUGGUUGCAGAGGCAGUGGGAGGAGUGGAUGUGUGCCACUGCACUUUGGGAGAUGGAACUGUGAGUGAGAGAGGCAGGAGGGCUCAGCUUCCGGUCCCUCUCGCUGGGGGAUGUGAAGGCAGGUUCCAUAUGCUCCAGGGCCCCCUCCUCUCCUCCCCCCUCCCAACUGGCCAGCCCACGCUGAUAAGAGUCUAUGAAGCAGGGGCUUUGUCUGGGGGAGAGGAGAGCAGUAAAUCAAUGGGAGCAGAGAGCAGGGGCCUGGACAAUUGCUUCUGGGGGGGAGGAGCCCUCAUCUCAGGGAGGCGCAUGGAGCAAGGGGGGGGCAAAGGCAGGCGGAUGGCAGCAAAGCUUUAGUGUUAGCAUCACCCCUCACCUGCCCUGGGGGAGCCAAGCCGGCCCCUCCCCCCAGGGAGGGCUCAGCUGCUCAUCUCUCCUAGACUGGGGGACACAGAUGGAUUGUGGGAAAUUCCGAACACCUCCUUCUGCUGGGAGUGAGGAGUCUGGAACUUCCCAUGUGCUUGGGGAGCUUGCCAAGGGCUCUGAGGGCAGAGGCAUCUCCCCAGAUUGCUGUCUGCUGUAGGGAGGAUCCAAAGUGAUCCUGGGAACGCAGGCCACCAGUGGAACGGGCCAGAAAAUGGCUGUACCUGGGGAAGGUCAUUGCCGUCUUCCCCCUCUGUGGACUGAGGACAGCUGUAGAGUGCUCCCCCUGCUAUCCCAGAGAGGAGAAGUGAGAUCUAGAAAGGAAAGGACUUAGAGAACUAUUGAAGAAGGCUGUCCCAUAGAGUCAAAGAAUGGAGAGUGUGUGGGUUACCCUUACGGAAAAGGGUGAGGGCAGUGGUUUCCCCAUCUGUAACAAAGUGACACCAGAGAUGUUAAGUUAAACAAGAUCGCAUGUUGGAAGCACAUAAUCGUUCCUCGGCAAUUGCUGAAGUUAUAAUCAUUAAUAAAUUAAAGGGAUCACAUAAAACAAGUAGCAUUAUUCUAAAGCUGUGCCGUCCAGUUUAGUAGCCAUUAGUCAUAUGGGACUAUUUACAUUGGAAUUAAGUAAGAUGAAAUCAAAUUAAAAUGCCA
Long non-coding RNA from Leopardus geoffroyi (Geoffroy's cat), 8127 nucleotides. RefSeq lists it as uncharacterized. The record is from RefSeq and is a predicted model, not a curated record. The transcript has 9 exons. Lineage: Eukaryota; Metazoa; Chordata; Mammalia; Carnivora; Felidae.